UCCCGGUGGCCGUCACCCCCCUGCUUCCUCUUCCUGCAGGAAACCGGCUUGCUCUUCCCCUCGCUAAAAGCUGCUCACCGGCCCCAGGAACUGAGCACUUGACUUAGUCCCGGGCCCUCGGGUGCACUCGGUUCAGUACUGAUCUCUCACUUCUGCUCUGCUGUCCACACUCCUGUGUGACGUCCCUUAGGACAGGAACCGGGCUGUAACUUCUGUACGGUUCCUUUGCGCUUCGCUCAGCCUACGCGGACACUUCCGGCACUUUGAUUGCUGGGUAGGAGAUGCGUCCUGGCUUCUUUCUGGCACCAGCACGUGACUUGUCUAUUUUAUUCUUACAAAUAUCUCUUUGUUUAACACCCGAAGGCGACUGCUUAGGCUUGUGUUCCUCACUGAGCGGACCUUGUGAAUGAGGGGAAGCGGCUUUAUGACUUCCCGUCUACCUCGGCUGGGUCAGGGCGCUUUCACAGCUGCCAUUGUUGUCUUUGGAGCAGAGCGGAUCGUGACUCAGAGCCAGAGGGCGCGAGCCUUUCCUCUGUUCCGCGGGAAGAAAGGUACUUUUGUGCCGCCCGCACACGGCAGCCCCCCCGCCAGAUGAGACAGCGCUCCGCCGCUUCUGUACGCGAGACGGGCUGCCGGGGAUUUGUUUUAAUUUAGAAGUUUCCGUUGAUAACUGAGAUUUGGUAGAUACCAUUUCCCCACUUAGAAUACCGCACCUUUGAAAGGAAAUCCUCGAAACACUCGGGCGGUUCAACCGAAGACUUGUCUGCACGUCUUUUUCCAGCCUUCCUGUUCAAUAGAAAGGACAGUGACUUCCGGUGGUCACAUGGCUGGCCUCGGCAUAAGGAUCCACAGACUGUCACCCUGCCUUGGCCCCCGCUUCUUUUCCUCUUACUCCGAAGGUUAUGGUUGGUGCAUUACUUUGGGUAAAAGCUUUGUUGUUAAGCCCUACUGUCCUGUUUCUCAAGUUAUAUUGGUACCGAGAAAUUUGCCCAUUUAUAAUGUGAAUUGUUGUGGCAUUAUCAUGUAAAAAGAAAUCACAAGCCAAAAAAUAAAGGCUUUAAAAUGCAGCCAGUAUUAAACUCCUAACUCCCGGGGCUUA
Chinchilla lanigera (long-tailed chinchilla) is the source of this 1099-nucleotide long non-coding RNA. RefSeq lists it as uncharacterized. The record is from RefSeq and is a predicted model, not a curated record. The transcript has 2 exons. NCBI's taxonomy places the organism in Eukaryota, Metazoa, Chordata, Mammalia, Rodentia, Chinchillidae.